AAGGCUCUAGCUUAAUGAAAGUGUCUGAGUUGCAUUUAGAAGAUGUAGGUUAAUGUCCUGCGGGCCUUA
Molecule: transfer RNA, 69 nt
Filed under: Glaucidium brasilianum (ferruginous pygmy-owl)
Lineage: Eukaryota; Metazoa; Chordata; Aves; Strigiformes; Strigidae
Description: tRNA-Ala
Rfam family: tRNA
About the family: Transfer RNA (tRNA) molecules are approximately 80 nucleotides in length. Their secondary structure includes four short double-helical elements and three loops (D, anti-codon, and T loops). Further hydrogen bonds mediate the characteristic L-shaped molecular structure. tRNAs have two regions of fundamental functional importance: the anti-codon, which is responsible for specific mRNA codon recognition, and the 3' end, to which the tRNAs corresponding amino acid is attached (by aminoacyl-tRNA synthetases). tRNAs cope with the degeneracy of the genetic code in two manners: having more than one tRNA (with a specific anti-codon) for a particular amino acid; and 'wobble' base-pairing, i.e. permitting non-standard base-pairing at the 3rd anti-codon position.
Source: RNAcentral